CGCGAGGCCGCGCCGUGCAUUCCGCGCAUUCCCGCCCGGCCUGGGUUCCGCCGCCACGUGGUGGCCCUGCGCUCCGCGCUUACCGUAAAGCCUGGAGACGGUGCGCACCUCGGCUUCCCAGCAUGAGAGGAGGACCGCCCCGGUACCCACCUGGCUGCGCCGUCCCGCCCCAGUGCAGAACCCGCGCAGGCUCGGGCGUGCAGUAGGUUUAGGUAACUAGAAGAGCUGAACUGCCGUGAAGUCCAGCAGGAAGGAGGGUGGCCAGCGCCCCUACCCCCCGCCCCCGGUGUGUGCAAUGGUGGGGGGCUGCCCAGCUCUGAAACCCCACAGAACCGGACAGGGAACCGUCAUGCCUUGUCAGCAGCCUUAGAGGCUGGAAAGGAGUCGCAGCCUUCCCGUUGGUCUUCUUCCUUUUCCCCGAUUAUUCACAAUCAGUGGUUCAGUCCAAGGGGAAGGGGGUCUGGAAGGUGCUUAGCAAACAGUCCAUAACAUGGUUACAACUGAUUUUUAAAAAAUAGAUUCUGAAGGGUCUCUUUUUUGAGGUCAGUUUAGUCAAGAUUCAGCGCCCUCAGGAGUCCUGAGCUGUCACCUGGAACAGGAUUGUUGUCUGCCUGGGGGAACUCUGGGGUAAUGGGGCCACCAGGGUCCUCCCUGGGUUGUGACACCCCCUGCAAGCUUGGAUGGGUCUGGAGGAAUUUUGAGAACCCUCCUGGGCCCUCUCUCCAAAUCCAUGCUUGAACAGAGGGCUCCCUCACACUCACACGAGGCAGGACGGGCCUCCGUCCCUGAGGGCCCCCAGUGUCCCCAGUCUAAGGGAAGCACAGCAGGCCCAUCUCUUGGGGACGUUCCACCCAGCUCCAUGUCCUCUCCCAGGGGGUUGACCAAUGGUCCACUGUUUUUAUGCAGUUGACGAUGAAACUGAGGCACAGAGGGGCUAGGCACCCUGUCCAGGUUGGCGAUGACAGUGGCCGGUCAGAGCCCACAGUCCUGGGCAGGAAGCCGCAGCCCUCCACGUCAUGGCUCCUCCGAGACGCUGGGGGGGCUGACUUAGGCUUGCAAGACUCCCUGCCGAGCCAAGCCUUCUUCUGCAGGAUGUCAGGAAGUUGGCGACCAUAUGUAGGAAACAGAACCAGAGGGUCCCCCAGGCCUCCACCUGCCAGGGCCCGAGAGGCAAAUGUCCAUCCCACCUCGAAGUGGGAUGUGGGCCUUCCCUGGCGAGCCCACAGGGAGGGGGAUCAAGGUACCACGCGGGAAGCCGGGCAGAGCCACUGGCCGGGCCUCAUUCUCGCCUGUGUUCUCAUGCAGAGCCAAGGCCCGGUGCUGUGUGGAAUUAAUUAAAUGUUUCAAUUCAUAUUCAGACAGGGCAUUUUUCAGAUGACUCUGUGCUGAAUCAGCUGGCUUCUCUGAGCCUCCAGCCGUUCACGCCCGCCCGCGGUGGGACUUAAACUGCAGAGAAACUGAGGUUGAAGUAAGCCCCCCAGUCACCCGCCCUCGGGCUUCCUCCUCCACUCUCCCUCUCCUUGCCCUGCAAAAGGGGGACAGGAUUUGAUCUUAAAAAGACAGACAGACGGCGGCACCGAUGAGGGCCCAGAAGUCAGCGCAGGGGUGAGGGGAGAGGUCUGAGGGAGCCUUCUGCUGGGCCACUGGUGGGAUCUCUGCCCAGGACGGUCACCCCAUUUCCCAGCCAUUCUGCUCGCGCAAAGGGGGACAGUCACCGGUGAAGUGGGCCAGAGGUGGGGUCAGCAAGACGGGAGGGGACGGGGGAGGCAAAGAGCCGCCUGGCCAAGCCAGGGCUGGGACCCCUCCCUCCAGGCGCCUCGCCCUGUGUGUCCCUGCAGCAAGGCGGGGAGUCGCCGUCGGACCCCCGGGAGUGAGGCCGCUGGACCCACCAGCCUGGGGGGGGCCCCUGUCCCCCGACUCCCUGCUCCACCUUUGUUGCCCCUUUGGACUCCGGCCACCUGCUAGCCCACAGACAGAGCUGGAUGGCCGUCCGGGAGGCCUUGAGGCAGGACGGCCUGCCGUCUGUCCGUCAGCUCCCGGGGACAGGGCCCUGUCUGGGCUCUCAGGAGCCCCUCAGCAGAGCGUGAUGUCAUUGCGUCCCAGCCUGCAGGCAGCGGGGGUGGGGUGGGGGGAGGACCCCCUGGAGAUGUGACUGAGGCCUGUCAGGAGGAGACCUGGGUCCGGGCCCUGUCCUGUGGGCAUGUCCAGCGGGUGUCAGGACACAGAGCGGAGCGCCCCAAGGAGACUGGGACCUGAAGUGCGUCCCUGUGGUGUCUCCCUUCGCACGUGGCCUGAGGGGGACUCGCCCACACCAAGGAGGAGCUGGUGGGGGGAGCCCAGGUUGUCCUUCUUGGUCACAGGACAGGGGGGAGUGUCCUGUGUCUGCUGUAGCCAUGCCCCAGGCGGGGGCUGAGGAUGGCAGAUUCCAAACAGGCUCACCUGGGCCCCUCCCUCCGGGGUCCAGGAAGGCAGGUCCAGCCUCUGCUGGCCCCUCUGCUGGCGUCCCUUCCUGUGGCGGCCUCAUCCAGUCUCUGCCUCCAUGGUCGCUGUGGCUCCUCUUCAGUCUCUCAGAGGGACAUGAGGUCACCCUCGUGGGCUCUGGGGGCCGCCCCUCAACCUCACAGCUGGAGAAAGGGACGCGCUUCGUCACAGCCAGGAACGGGCCACCAGAUCCUGUCCGUGCCGAGGCCUUGCUCCGUGCCCCCCCCACUUAGGGCUCCGCGGCAGGGGACAGGGUCCCGGAUACACUGAGGUCUGCCUGUCCUCCAGGGGCUUCUGUUGGGGCCUGAGAGACGCGACUGGCAAGGCUUCUGCAGAGGAAAGCUCGGGACAAGGUGGCCAGCACCUGCCGCAGGUGACCUGUGUCGGUCCGUUCUGCUGCCUCCCAGGGGCAGGUGGGCAGAAGUGAGGGGUGGCACGGCUGCUACCACUUGUGGGCCUCUGCUUCUCUGUCCUCAGCCUCUCACCUGUGCAAUGGGGUGAUGACGGCGUUGGCCUCCCACGUCCCUCCGAGUCGGAGGCAGUGGGCAGGUGGUGUGCCCGGUGCCUGUGAACCCCGCUCUCUGGGACUUGUGCUUCCUCCCAGUCCCGCACUCUGAACCUGCGCAGGUGGAAUGGAGGCCCAGUGGGGAGUCCUGCCAACUGUCUCCUCAGUGGGAUCAAUCAGAGGCCAGCAGACCAGCGGCCGCCUGCGGUCAGCGUGAAAUCCUGCCUCGCCAGUUCAGCGCGCUGCUGGCCCGAUGUCCCUGCGUCUUCCCAGAGGAGGAAAUUAAGGCCCAAGGUCACUGAGAUGCAGAGGAGCAGGAGAGCGUCCAGCUCUGGCUGCACACACAGAGGAGGGAGAGUGAGUCGCCAGGCACCUUCCGGAAAGCCCCCAAGAUGCAGUUCACCGAACACACAGUUGGCCUGCACAGUGUGCAGUCCAGUGGCUUUUCGCACGUGACAGUGACAACGUUCCACCGCCGCCGCCGUCUCAUUUAAGAACACUGUCUUCUUCCCAGGUACUCGCCUGGUCCUUACAGCCCCUGGCCACCGCUGAUCUGCUUCUGGCCCUGUGUCCUGGACACUUGGUAUAAACGGAGUCAGAAAGCGUAUGGUCUCUUGCCUGAUUUCUUUCCUUUAGUAAAAGGUUUUCAAGAUUCA
Long non-coding RNA from Ictidomys tridecemlineatus (thirteen-lined ground squirrel), 3642 nucleotides. RefSeq lists it as uncharacterized. The record is from RefSeq and is a predicted model, not a curated record. Lineage: Eukaryota; Metazoa; Chordata; Mammalia; Rodentia; Sciuridae.